GCGAGAGAGCGCGCCACUGUGUGAUUAAUGCGAACCGCAUACUGCUUUGAACAUCGACAUCUUGAACGCAUAUUGCGGCCAUGGGUUUGCCUGUGGCCACGCCUGUCCGAGGGUCGGCUUAUAAACUAUCACGACGCCCAAAAAGUCGUGGCUUGGGUUUUGCCAGCUGGCAUGAUUUCUCCACGCUUUUGCGUGGGGUGCCGGAUCUAUGGCUUCUCCCCAAUGUGCCGAACGCAACCAUAUCUGGGCCGAAUGUCUGGAUGAGGGUGUGGCGGCGGAGUCGUGGCUCAAUUGUAUUUAUGAAUAUGCGCGCUCCGUUGUUGUUCCUUUGUCUGUGACUGAAGCUUUAGUUCUGGCAAUGCAUUCGAUGCAAAUCCGUUUUGCACUUUGGUGCUUAACAUUCCUGACCUCGGAUCAGACGUGAAUACCCGCUGAACUUAAGCAUAUCACUAAGCGGAGGAAAAGAAACUAACCAAGGGAUC
Molecule: ribosomal RNA, 482 nt
Filed under: Opisthorchis pedicellata
Lineage: Eukaryota; Metazoa; Platyhelminthes; Trematoda; Opisthorchiida; Opisthorchiidae
Description: eukaryotic LSU rRNA
Rfam family: Eukaryotic large subunit ribosomal RNA (bases 405-482)
Source: RNAcentral